CCAAUAGCGUAUAUUAAAGUUGUUGCAGUUCAAAAGCUCGUAGUUGAAUUUCGGGAUUAGUACGUUGGUCGUGCCUUCGGUACGUACUGGUGUUACUGAUUCCUACCUUCUGACGAACCAUCAUGUCAUUAAUUUGGUGUGGCGGGGAAUCAGGACUGUUACUUUGAAAAAAUUAGAGUGUUUAAAGCAGGCUCGCGCUUGAAUACAUUAGCAUGGAAUAAUGAAAUAGGACGUUGACCCUAUUUUGUUGGUUUCUAGGAUUGACGUAAUGAUUAAUAGGGAUAGUUGGGGGCAUUAGUAUUCAAUUGUCAGAGGUGAAAUUCUUGGAUUUAUUGAAGACUAACUACUGCGAAAGCAUUUGCCAAGGAUGUUUUCAUUAAUCAAGAACGAAAGUUAGGGGAUCGAAGACGAUCAGAUACCGUCGUAGUCUUAACCAUAAACUAUGCCGACUAGGGAUCGGAUGAUGUUAUUUUUAAUGACUCAUUCGGCGCCUUACG
This 497-nucleotide ribosomal RNA is filed under the name uncultured Glomus. RNAcentral's name for it is "SSU rRNA". It matches the Rfam family "Eukaryotic small subunit ribosomal RNA", at positions 591 to 1092 of the family's 1831-position model. The record is from RNAcentral. Lineage: Eukaryota; Fungi; Glomeromycota; Glomeromycetes; Glomerales; Glomeraceae.